AAGUCGUAACAAGGUUUCCGUAGGUGAACCUGCGGAAGGAUCAUUAUUGAAUUAAAUUGGUAGAGGUUGUUGCUGGCUUUUAAAAGCAAGUGCACACCUCUCCAUCUUUAUUUUCCCUUGUGCACAUUUUGUAGUCUUUAUGAUUAAAAAUAGCUAAUGUUCGAGUCUAACUCGGUUGAGGAGUUGCUGUGCGUAAGCUGGCUCUCCUUGUAAGCUAUCAAUAAUAAUAAAGUCUAUGUUUUACUAUACCCAAAUGAAUGUUACAAGAAUGUAAUCAAUGGACUUAGUUGUCUAUAAAACAAAUACAACUUUCAGCAACGGAUCUCUUGGCUCUC
Molecule: unclassified non-coding RNA, 335 nt
Filed under: air metagenome
Description: partial contains small subunit ribosomal RNA, internal transcribed spacer 1, and 5.8S ribosomal RNA
Rfam family: Eukaryotic small subunit ribosomal RNA (bases 1-46)
Source: RNAcentral